Long non-coding RNA from Aedes albopictus (Asian tiger mosquito), 526 nucleotides. RefSeq lists it as uncharacterized. Lineage: Eukaryota; Metazoa; Arthropoda; Insecta; Diptera; Culicidae. The record is from RefSeq and is a predicted model, not a curated record. The transcript has 2 exons.
UCCAUUUCUUGCAACAUAAACAAUAUAGUUAUCCGAAGUUUUGCUCAAACAGCAUCAAAUUAGCCAAGGAAUCAUAAUACCCACGCUUUUUACACCAUUUCAUUGCAGAAACGGAGAAUUGACCUUCUCACCAUACUAAAAUUCAGCUCAUUACUACAAAUCUAGUACUGCACCGAACGUGCCCCAUUCUAAAUUCGUGAAAAAUUUAUGGAAAAAUUUGGAAGUGCCACUCCCUCAUGGAACAAAUAGUUUUCCGUGCAACCACUGUUUCAAAAAAAACUUUAACUCGAAAACGUUGGCACUCUUGAAACUUGACACUUGAACGUGAGAAAAAUCUAAAGAAAAAGCCAAAAAACUUCUCACCAUCCUCAAAUCAGCCGUCCAAACGUCAUUCGUCCGUCACACACAACCGAAACGCGAGAAUCCCUUUCAUCGCAGCGCGACUGUCGUAUCUAGAGCGUAACACCGAAACCUCCGAAUUCGACAUCUAGACCAGGAACAAUGGCAUCCGCUGUUUCGAAGACUC